Molecule: long non-coding RNA, 582 nt
Organism: Bubalus bubalis (water buffalo)
Lineage: Eukaryota; Metazoa; Chordata; Mammalia; Artiodactyla; Bovidae
Exons: 2
Source: RefSeq, a predicted model, not a curated record
GGCCAGGAAGAUCCCUCGGAGGAGGAAAUUGCAACCACUCCAGUAUUCUUGCCUGGAGAAUCCCAGGGACAGAGGAGCCUGGCGGGCUACAGUCCAAAGGAUGGCAAAGAAUCAGACACAAUGCAGCAGCCACACAAGGGUGUAGGGCACCAAGGAAUCAAUGUGGGUUAAGCAUCUGCGGGCCAGAUUCUGGCCGGGCUGGGGAGGUGGUGAAAAUGAAUCAUCUGGAGGUCAGCAGUGGAGGAGAGACAGGCAAAUUCUUCAUUCCCCCAAGUAACCCGGAUGGAAAGUCCAAGAUCAAGGGCGACUCUUGAGGGGGAAAUGAUCCCUUUCCUCCAGUAACCCCAAACAAUUCCAAUGGCAAAGUACAUGGAAAUGCUAAGGACUGAUUCCUCAGUAUUGGAGACCUUGAAGAGCGUGACUAUCCCUUAUCAACCCACAAUCUCACUGGAUGGACCACGUGUCCGACCUGUUCUAUGGAGAGUGAGGCAGUUUCAUGGUGUUCUCACUCAGAAAUCAGCAAGCAGUCUUUGCUUAAGAUGAAUGCCCAGUCCACGUCCACCGGGGUGGGGAAGAGGAAAA